RNAcentral lists this transfer RNA (55 nucleotides) under Philometra sp. HZ-2022. Its description in RNAcentral is "tRNA-Glu". The record is from RNAcentral. Lineage: Eukaryota; Metazoa; Nematoda; Chromadorea; Rhabditida; Philometridae.
GAAGUAAGGGUGUGCAAGCAUUGGUCAUUUUCAGUGAUCAGGAUUAGUUAUUUUG